This 185-nucleotide long non-coding RNA is filed under the name Fukomys damarensis (Damara mole-rat). Its description in RNAcentral is "lncRNA (ENSFDAG00000032249.1)". The record is from RNAcentral. Lineage: Eukaryota; Metazoa; Chordata; Mammalia; Rodentia; Bathyergidae.
UAUUUUAAGACAAGGUCUCAUUAAAUCACCUUUGCAGGCCUUAAACGAAGUUACUUCUGCCUCUGCUUCCUGAAGAUGUGGAGUUCCAGCAUACACCAGUAAACCCAGCUUCAGUGGAACUCCAAAGGGUGAAUUACAGGAUGGCAUGGAAGGCUGGUGGGCACCCUGACAGACCUACUAGAGAC